RNAcentral lists this long non-coding RNA (1995 nucleotides) under Marmota monax (woodchuck). Lineage: Eukaryota; Metazoa; Chordata; Mammalia; Rodentia; Sciuridae. The record is from RNAcentral.
GGACUUUCAUUUUUUUCUGAUACACAUAUUUUUCAUUACAGAAAUACACAGAAGCAGUCUGAUGUCUGCACUCCUCUUCAGAUCACCACCGGAGAGCCAAGCCAGCCUCCCAUCCCAUGGGAUUAACAGACAUGCCAGAAAAUCGGGAGUUAAAAAGAGACUGGGUCUUCAAAGCUGUAUGAUGAAGAUAGCAUAGCUGGAGGCCGGAGGCCGGAGUCGGGGAGGCAGGCUGACCCUGAGACUCUGUGGUCAGCCGAGAGACCAAGAAGUCAGAACCAGAAAGACAGGGUCACCAAGCUACUGAGACAGCCAAUAGUCUGUCCUGCUCUGAAAAUACGACCAGGGCCUCUCCCUGCCAUAGCACAUGCCUAGAACGCCCGCUGCCAUGACAGGGUCACAUUGGCUGUGUCAGCUUACAAAAUCAGCCCCAAGGUGGGGAGUACAAUGCGACGCUAAGGCUCCGUGGUGUGUGCCAAGGUGUGGUGGAGCGCAGGGCAGCUGAGACUCCACCUCUACAGGACGUCAAGAGGAGGCCCCCAUGGCAGAUGCCGUAAAAGCUGUGCCCCUUUGUCCUUAGUUGGAGUCAGCCUGGAGCUUUUGUCCUCGUGGGCUUCCUCUUAGGAGCCAGCUUACAGCUGAGGGGCCUCAUUCCUGUCUUACUUGUGCUUCUGUGAAAUUCUGAUACAAAGAACCCCGGGAGGCCGCACGGGGAUCUGCCCCUGCCCCGCCUGGGCAGCUAGCCUCUGUCCCCACACAGCGUCUCCUCCGCUUGUGGUCCAGCCACCAGUCCCUCUCACCUGUCUCGCCCCUGGGCCCUCGAGGUCCUGCUCUUCACCUCACACCUCAUUUCCAAGAUGUCUGCACCUCGACAUCCAAUCCCUUGGCAUCUCUCUCCCUGAAAAGGCCUUUCCCAGGGGGAGCAUCUGGUCUUCACUCUGCUCUGAGUCCCCACGGCCCCAAGCCCCCCCGCAGGUCCUCAAAACUGCUCCCGGCCCUUUAUUUUUACGUGUCUGUCUUCUGCAGUGCUGGGAUGAACCCGGGGUCUCCCUCUGGUCCUUUAAGUCUCGGCGCCCCAGGCUGGUCCCUGCCACCCUUCCUUCUGCCCUGGUGGAGUCCGCCUGUCUCUAGGUUUGCAGGCCACACCUACAGCUGCCGUGGGAAACUGAGACAGCCCCGCCCAGGGCUAUGUGGGUGCAGGCCGCCGGGCGGGCGCUGGCUUCCUGUGGCUGUGACAAAUGGCCGGCCGGCUGCUCCAUCCUUCUGAUGGCCAGGCCAACCUCGCCCUACCCUCUCCACCACCCCAACAGCUGGAGCCCAGUUUGCCCACUCCCCCAAACCCCAGCAUUGUUUUUUUUUAAUAUUUAUUUAUUUUCAGGUGUAGAUGGACACAACACAAUGCCUUAUUUUUAUGUGGUGCUGAGGAUGUCACCCAGGUCCCUCCCGUGCUAGGCGAGCGCUCCACCGCUGAGCCACAGUCCCCGCCCCAUCCAGCAUUGGAUUUUGAGUGACAGGAUUCUGUCUCCCCUGCUUCUCAGGCUGCAGCUAGCAACAGUGAAUCUUCCCUUCCCUCCUCCCUGCUGGCCUUCCUUAUUUCCUUUAACUAUUUUUUUAGGGGAGGUACCAGGGAUCGAACUCAGGAGCACUCGACCACUGAGCCCCAUCCCCAGCCCUAUUUUGUAUUUUAUUUAGUGACAGGGUCUCACUGAGUUGCUUAGGGCCUCACUUUUGCUGAGGCUGGCUUUGAACUCAUGAUCCUCCUGCCUCAGCCUCCCAAGCCACUGGGAUUACUGGCAUGCACCACGGUGCCCAGCUCUUUAAACUAUUUUUUAAAAUAGGAAAGCUACACCUAUGUUUAUACACCUGUGUACAUAACAUCAUUAUUCACAAUUACCCAAAAGUGGAAGCCACAUAACUGUUCAUCAAUUAAUAAUUUAAAAGUGGUCCUUCCAUACAACGGAGUAUUAUUCAGCCAUGAAAAUGAGCAAGACAAGCUGG